AUUGAACGCUGGCGGCAGGCCUAACACAUGCAAGUCGAGCGGAUGAAGGGAGCUUGCUCCUGGAUUCAGCGGCGGACGGGUGAGUAAUGCCUAGGAAUCUGCCUGGUAGUGGGGGAUAACGUCCGGAAACGGGCGCUAAUACCGCAUACGUCCUGAGGGAGAAAGUGGGGGAUCUUCGGACCUCACGCUAUCAGAUGAGCCUAGGUCGGAUUAGCUAGUUGGUGGGGUAAAGGCCUACCAAGGGGACGAUCCGUAACUGGUCUGAGAGGAUGAUCAGUCACACUGGAACUGAGACAUGGUCCAGACUCCUACGGGAGGCAGCAGUGGGGAAUAUUGGACAAUGGGCGAAAGCCUGAUCCAGCCAUGCCGCGUGUGUGAAGAAGGCCUUCGGAUUGUAAAGCACUUUAAGUUGGGAGGAAGGGCAGUAAGUUAAUACCUUGCUGUUUUGACGUUACCAACAGAAUAAGCACCGGCUAACUUCGUG
This 484-nucleotide ribosomal RNA is filed under the name uncultured bacterium. Its description in RNAcentral is "partial 16S ribosomal RNA". It matches the Rfam family "Bacterial small subunit ribosomal RNA", at positions 30 to 507 of the family's 1533-position model. The record is from RNAcentral.